GACGAACGCUGGCGGCGUGCUUAACACAUGCAAGUCGAACGGAAAGGCCCCUUUGGGGGUACUCGAGUGGCGACCGGGUGCGUAACACGUGAGUAACCUGCCCUUGACUUCGGGAUAACUUCAGGAAACUGGGGCUAAUACCGGAUCGGAAUCCUUGCUGCAUGGUGGGGGUUGGAAAGCUUCGGCGGUUUUGGCUGGACUCGCGGCUUAUCAGCUUGUUGGUGGGGUAGUGGCUUACCAAGGCUUUGACGGGUAGCCGGCCUGCGAGGGCGACCGGCCACAUUGGGACUGAGAGACGGCCCAGACUCCUACGGGAGGCAGCAGGGGGGAAUAUUGCACAAUGGGCGGAAGCCUGAUGCAGCAACGCCGCGUGCGGGAUGACGGCCUUCGGGUUGUAAACCGCUUUCAGCAGGGGCGAAGCUUGUGGUGACGGUACCUGCAGAAGAAGCACCGGCUAACUACGUG
This 465-nucleotide ribosomal RNA is filed under the name uncultured bacterium. RNAcentral's name for it is "partial 16S ribosomal RNA". It matches the Rfam family "Bacterial small subunit ribosomal RNA", at positions 28 to 507 of the family's 1533-position model. The record is from RNAcentral.